GUUGUAUGGUUAAGUGACUAAGCGUACACGGUGGAUGCCUGGGCAGUCAGAGGCGAUGAAGGACGUACUAACUUGCGAUAAGCGCAGAUAAGGCAGUAAGAGCCGUUUGAGUCUGCGAUUUCCGAAUGGGGAAACCCAACUGCAUAAGCAGUUACUGUUAACUGAAUACAUAGGUUAACAGAGCAAACCGGGGGAACUGAAACAUCUAAGUACCCCGAGGAGAAGAAAUCAACCGAGAUUCCGGUAGUAGCGGCGAGCGAACCUGGAUUAGCCCUUAAGCACUCGGUGAAGUAGGUGAACAAGCUGGAAAGCUUGGCGAUACAGGGUGAUAGCCCCGUAACCGACGCUUCAUCGAGCGUGAAAUCGAGUAGGGCGGGACACGUGAUAUCCUGUCUGAAUAUGGGGGGACCAUCCUCCAAGGCUAAAUACUCCUGACUGACCGAUAGUGAACCAGUACCGUGAGGGAAAGGCGAAAAGAACCCCUGUGAGGGGAGUGAAAUAGAACCUGAAACCGUGUACGUACAAGCAGUAGGAGCACCUUCGUGGUGUGACUGCGUACCUUUUGUAUAAUGGGUCAGCGACUUAU
RNAcentral lists this ribosomal RNA (586 nucleotides) under Vibrio cholerae. RNAcentral's name for it is "partial 23S ribosomal RNA". It matches the Rfam family "Bacterial large subunit ribosomal RNA", at positions 1 to 631 of the family's 2925-position model. The record is from RNAcentral. Lineage: Bacteria; Pseudomonadati; Pseudomonadota; Gammaproteobacteria; Vibrionales; Vibrionaceae.